Symphalangus syndactylus (siamang) is the source of this 278-nucleotide long non-coding RNA. RefSeq lists it as uncharacterized. The record is from RefSeq and is a predicted model, not a curated record. NCBI's taxonomy places the organism in Eukaryota, Metazoa, Chordata, Mammalia, Primates, Hylobatidae.
AGACUCGGUCUCACUCUGUCACCAAGUCUGGAGAGUAGUGACACUGUAACCUGGAACUCCUGGGCUCAAGCUGGAACUACAGAAGCUGACAGCAUGGCUGCCUUGUCAGAGUGCUUUCAUGCCAAGGAGCCAGUUCUCAGAAGCUGAAGAACGGAAAGUGCCUACAGCUACAGUCCAAACCAGAAUUUUCAAGUACAGUGAAGGCGGGAAUGAUGGAAGUAGAAAGGCAUCCACUUGUCCUCCAGACCAACUUGAGGGGGAUCAUAUUGGAGCGGGAG